Molecule: ribosomal RNA, 492 nt
Filed under: uncultured bacterium
Lineage: Bacteria
Description: partial 16S ribosomal RNA
Rfam family: Bacterial small subunit ribosomal RNA
Source: RNAcentral
AGUGAACGCUGGCGGCAGGCCUAACACAUGCAAGUCGAACGGCAGCACAGUAAGAGCUUGCUCUUACGGGUGGCGAGUGGCGGACGGGUGAGGAAUACAUCGGAAUCUACUUUUUCGUGGGGGAUAACGUAGGGAAACUUACGCUAAUACCGCAUACGACCUACGGGUGAAAGCAGGGGAUCUUCGGACCCUGCGCGAUUGAAUGAGCCGAUGUCGGAUUAGCUAGUUGGCGGGGUAAAGGCCCACCAAGGCGACGAUCCGUAGCUGGUCUGAGAGGAUGAUCAGCCACACUGGAACUGAGACACGGUCCAGACUCCUACGGGAGGCAGCAGUGGGGAAUAUUGGACAAUGGGCGCAAGCCUGAUCCAGCCAUACCGCGUGGGUGAAGAAGGCCUUCGGGUUGUAAAGCCCUUUUGUUGGGAAAGAAAAGCAGCAGGUUAAUACCCCGCUGUUCUGACGGUACCCAAAGAAUAAGCACCGGCUAACUUCGUG